AUGGGUGACUAGUGGCAGAGUGAGGGAGGGAAGGGGUGACUAGUGACAGAGUGAGGGGAUGACUGGUGACAGAGUGAGGGGGGGGUGACUGUCACCAGUCACCCCAUCCCUCUCUCUGUCACUAGUUACUCCCUCCCUAACUCUGUCACUGUGUCACCCACUCCCUCACUCUGUCACUAGUCACCCCCUUACUCUGUCACUGUGUUACCCCCUCCCUCACUCUGUCACUAAUCACCCCCUCUCUCCCUAGUCACCCCCUUCCUCACUCUGUCACUAGUCACCCCAU
This is a non-coding RNA of Pelobates cultripes (western spadefoot toad), 286 nucleotides long. The record is from the annotation of a GenBank genome assembly. Lineage: Eukaryota; Metazoa; Chordata; Amphibia; Anura; Pelobatidae.